AUUGAACGCUGGCGGCAGGCUUAACACAUGCAAGUCGAGCGGGGGAAGGUAGCUUGCUACCGGACCUAGCGGCGGACGGGUGAGUAAUGCUUAGGAAUCUGCCUAUUAGUGGGGGACAACAUCUCGAAAGGGAUGCUAAUACCGCAUACGUCCUACGGGAGAAAGCAGGGGAUCUUCGGACCUUGCGCUAAUAGAUGAGCCUAAGUCGGAUUAGCUAGUUGGUGGGGUAAAGGCCUACCAAGGCGACGAUCGGUAGCGGGUCUGAGAGGAUGAUCCGCCACACUGGGACUGUGACACGGCCCAGACUCCUACGGGAGGCAGCAGUGGGGAAUAUUGGACAAAGGGGGGAACCCUGAUCCAGCCAUGCCGCGUGUGUGAAGAAGGCCUUAUGGUUGUAAAGCACUUUAAGCGAGGAGGAGGCUACUCUAGUUAAUACCUAGGGAUAGUGGACGUUACUCGCAGAGUAAGCACCGGCUAACUCUGUGCCAGCAGCCGCAGUAA
Molecule: ribosomal RNA, 501 nt
Filed under: uncultured bacterium
Lineage: Bacteria
Description: partial 16S ribosomal RNA
Rfam family: Bacterial small subunit ribosomal RNA
Source: RNAcentral